AAUUUGCAAAACGAAUGGGAAAAUUCGACAUUCUCUCUGUACUCUUCUUUACAGCUAUUUAAUUGCCGCUUUUAUUAAAAAAAAAAAUUCGGCAUAAAAAAAUUGCCGAAAGCUAACAGCGUUCCCAAAGAUAUUUUUUUUCCCCUUCUUCCUCCCACGCUCUCUCUCCAACUAAUGAUCGCAAACCUUUUCCUUUUCUUGAUAACCAUAGUAAAAAAAGUUCUCCACCCUUCCACCGCUUUCUUCCCGUUCCUUGACAUGCGGUAGAACGGCGGCGCACAUGGUGGCGGUGAGGCUCCGUCCGAUCGGCACCGUCGACGACCGCAUACGAAGGCGGACCAAGAUAGCACCACCACGACCACCGGCGGCGACGGUGGAAGAAGGCAUGGGGAGCUUCCACGAGCGGAUGAUCGACGAGUCCCUCACGUCCCGCUACUCGGAUUGGAUCGUGGAGGCGUUGGACGAGCUCCCGGACAACUUCUUGAUCACAGAUCCGGGAAUCUCCGGCCAUCCGAUCGUCUUCGCCAGCCGCGGGUUCCUCGCCAUGUCGGGAUACGCCCGGGAGGAGGUGGUGGGCCGGAACGGGAGGAUCUUCCAGGGGCCCGCCACCGAGCGGCGGUCGGUGAUGGAGAUCCGGGAGGCGAUCCGGGAGGAGCGGACGCUCCAGAUUAGCUUGCUCAACUACCGGAAGGAUGGGACGCCGCAUUGGAUCUUGUUCCACCUGUGCCCUGUCUUCGGGAUGGAGGAUGGGCGGGUGAUCCACUUCGUCGCCGUUCAGGUGCCGAUCCCGAGGCGGUCGAGAUGCGCGAGGUCGGGGGCGAAUGGAAUGGUGUAUGGGGCGUGCCGGAAUGAGGUGCGUUUGGAUGACGAUUACGCGUGUAAUCUUGCAGUGGAUUCGGUUAUUGAUAUGGAUAACAAAGCUUUGGAGGCUGAAGAGUCUCGUAAAGCGAGUGUUUGGGAGAAGGAGAAAGCAUCGAAUGCUGCUAACAGCAUCUUAUCAACACUGACUCACUAUAGCAAGCUUACGGGGAGAGUGGUCUGCACGAAGAGAUGCAGUUCAGCUGGCAUUGCGCCUCUCAGUUCAUCCCUGAAUAUAUCUCUCGGUAGAAUCAAACAGAGCUUUGUAUUGACUGAUCCACAUUUACCUGAUAUGCCCAUUGUCUAUGCCAAUGAUGAAUUCCUAAGUUUAACAGGUUACUCUAGACAUGAAGUCUUGGGACGUAACUGUAGAUUCCUAAAUGGACCUGGAACAGAUGCUGGAGUUUUACAUCAGAUAAAGGACUGCAUUCUAGCAGAGCAAGCUUGUUCAGUGCGUCUUUUGAAUUAUAGGAAAGAUGGAAGCUCAUUCUGGAACCGUCUUCACAUAUCACCUGUACGGAAUGCAUCUGGCAAGAUUGCAUUCUAUGUUGGGGUUCAGAUGGAUGAGAAUUCCAAGUGCGAUGAGCAUGGACUUAGCCCAGAGAUGAGGCAGCUUGGUGCGGUGGGACAAGUUAAGGUUGCAGUAAGGAGCUUUUCUUCGCGUGCUGGCCCUUCGAGGCCAUCAUCAUAGGGUUCUGCCCCUUCUGGCAUGACCAAACUGGCGAGCCCGACGAGUUUAAUACAAUGGACCGGUUUGAGUUGACGUGCCGCAAGGCGAGCCUAAGCUUGAUGCUCCUGUUAGGUCAGCGACCAAACCAGAAAUGUGACUGCUGACAGGGGGACUUUCAUGGAACAGGAAUUGGGGUUGAAGAAUAUUGGGUUGAUACGGACCAUGCUCAAAUAAACUUUCCAGUUUAUGAAUCGAGCAGGAAAUUCAAUCUAAAUUUUGCUGGAGUAUCCAGACCGGCUCUAAAUAUCUUUUGUAAUGGGUAACUACUGCUUGAAGGAAUUCUACUAGGGAAAGGAUUCAAAAAGACCUGAACACUUUGACAGGAUCAAAAAAAAAUUAGCCGUUUGAUUACAGAAAGGAAGGUUCCCUCAAUUCAGAAUAAAUCUUCAUUUUGGCCUGUGUUGAGGUGCAAGGAGAUUUCAAGUUGGUGCUCUUUAGCGGCGGUUUGUAAUAAGAUUCUUUUGAGGGUUCUUGAUGAGAUACAACCAAGACCACUUACAUAGUAAAAUAACAUUAGGAUGUUGGUAAUCUGCACCGAAAUGUUAUGGCUUUGGCUUUGUUUUUUUUUUUUUCUUUCUUUAGUUUUGGCGGAAAUGUUACGGAUUUAUUCAGGCUGCAAACUACGCCUGCGGGUAUCAGGAGUUUUCUAGCAGAUUCGUUUUUUAAAUUUCCUCAUUUUGACAUUGCCAAGUUCUGCUCGAAUGGGUCCAGUGGGUUUUAUGGUAACUUCACAUGGUCUAGUUUGGUUACUUAUCACUGGCUAUCAUCAUUGUAGAAGGAUGGUGAUGUCAACAUCGGAGCGAGAUAUCCUGUAAUCGAAGGCUGACAAAAAGUCAAAGGCUGAACAUAGCGUUCCAUGUCACUGGAAAGAAACCAAACUAGGCUGAGAUACCGUGCUGUUAAGUUCAUCAUGAAAACGAUUUGGCAUCUAAAUCAAUCGCCACCGGAAAAAAAAAAAAAAA
Non-coding RNA from Phoenix dactylifera (date palm), 2550 nucleotides. Lineage: Eukaryota; Viridiplantae; Streptophyta; Magnoliopsida; Arecales; Arecaceae. The record is from RefSeq and is a predicted model, not a curated record.